Long non-coding RNA from Brassica oleracea var. oleracea, 244 nucleotides. RefSeq lists it as uncharacterized. The transcript is spliced from 3 exons. The record is from RefSeq and is a predicted model, not a curated record. Lineage: Eukaryota; Viridiplantae; Streptophyta; Magnoliopsida; Brassicales; Brassicaceae.
UGACGUUCCACAGGGAAAGGAACGUGUUAUGAUUAUGCGUUGAUCAUUUUAUUGGAAGGCUUUCAAGGUGAUCCAAGAGUUGUUGUCGCGACUAUCAAUCCUAAAAUUGUCAGAGGAUGUCUGUUUUGAACGCUACGUCAGCAACACAAAUUUUUCGAUAAAGAGACUUAAGCACUGGGGAUUUUGUUCUACUAAGUAUCUAAUGGUGAAACUUCACAAUCAUGUAGACUGGUCUCUAAAGAAC